Molecule: small nuclear RNA, 107 nt
Organism: Zalophus californianus (California sea lion)
Lineage: Eukaryota; Metazoa; Chordata; Mammalia; Carnivora; Otariidae
Source: Ensembl
GCACUCCCUUUGGCAGCACAUAAUCUAAAACUGGAACAAUACAGAGAAGAUUAGUAUGACCCCUAAGUAAGGAUGACAGGCAAAUUCAUGAAAAGUUCCAUAUUAAA